AUGAAAAUGUUUGCCUAUUUUGAUCAGAAUAGAAGUGGCCAUUUGAUCAUCAAAUAUUCCGAGAGAAGUGAUAAUGUUGAUGUUCCAUGUAUUCCUUCGAACCAAACACCAUCUAUAGCACUGCCUAGUCAACCAAGUAGCAUCAUUGAUGAAGCUAUUGUAUGCCUAACAGAUACAUAUCUUGACAAUCCGCAUGAAGAAUAUGAACAUGUUGGUGUAGAUGAGGAGGACCAGUACUCAAUUGGCAGUGUUGGUUCCGAUAGUGAUGAUGAGGUCGAAGAAAAAGAUAUACCAAAUAAUGAUUAUGUUGAGGAUAGCAGUGAUGAUGAGGAAUGGGUUGCGGAAGAUGCUAGACUGGAUGCUAUUCCAGAAAUUGCUUAUGACAAAGAAAACCCGCCAAUGCAUGUUGGCGCAAAGUACCCCAACAUUGAAGAGUUUAGGUUGGCAAUUGCUACAUAUGCUGUAAAGAAAGAGUUCGAAUUCAAGGUUGAAAAAAGUGAACCUACUCGAUUCAGGGCUUAUUGUCGCCGGGCGAAGAAGACGGAUUGUAAAUGGAUAAUUCAUGUUGGGAGGUUGGAUGACCAAGAAACUAUGGAGGUCAAAGUUCAUGUGCAGGAGCACACUUGUUCUAGCACAAAGAAGAAAAAGAAGUAG
Molecule: ribosomal RNA, 654 nt
Filed under: Triticum aestivum (bread wheat)
Lineage: Eukaryota; Viridiplantae; Streptophyta; Magnoliopsida; Poales; Poaceae
Description: partial small subunit ribosomal RNA
Source: RNAcentral